Small nuclear RNA from Neomonachus schauinslandi (Hawaiian monk seal), 104 nucleotides. The record is from RefSeq and is a predicted model, not a curated record. Lineage: Eukaryota; Metazoa; Chordata; Mammalia; Carnivora; Phocidae.
GUGCUUCCUUCAGCAGCACAUAAACUAAAAUUGGAAUGAUACAGAGAUUAGCAUGGCCCCUAUACAAGGAGGACAUGCAAAUCUGUGAAGCAUUCUAUAUUUAA